GAACCAGUCUCGCUGAGUCUCCCGCAUGGGAGAACGGGGGAACCAAUACUGGAGCGGGUCAUGAUAGACCGGAAGCGGUCCCGUGCUCGCAAGCGUAUUUGAUUUCUUUUUUGGGUCUCUGGGGUGAAUUGAACGGCUUUACGCCAUGAGCGUAAGGACGCGAAUAGGGCGGCUCUCUUUCGCCCGAACCCGACAGCUAACCCCGUAAGCGGAUAAAGAGAGGUACC
Molecule: small RNA, 227 nt
Filed under: Paenibacillus rhizosphaerae
Lineage: Bacteria; Bacillati; Bacillota; Bacilli; Caryophanales; Paenibacillaceae
Description: c-di-AMP sequence
Rfam family: c-di-AMP riboswitch aptamer (ydaO/yuaA leader)
About the family: This family represents a conserved RNA structure found upstream of the ydaO and yuaA genes in Bacillus subtilis and related genes in other bacteria. The ydaO/yuaA element is thought to act as a genetic "off" switch for the ydaO and yuaA genes in its native state. It is believed that the element may be triggered during osmotic shock leading to activation of ydaO, a predicted amino acid transporter gene, and members of the yuaA-yubG operon which code for KtrA and KtrB K+ transporters.
Source: Rfam by way of RNAcentral